Small nuclear RNA from Dermacentor andersoni, 184 nucleotides. RefSeq annotates it as U2 spliceosomal RNA. NCBI's taxonomy places the organism in Eukaryota, Metazoa, Arthropoda, Arachnida, Ixodida, Ixodidae. The record is from RefSeq and is a predicted model, not a curated record.
AUGGCCGACGCGGGUCAUAGUGUAGUAUCUGUUCGUAUCAGCUUAAUAUCUGAUGUGAGUUGGAUUUGAACCCAAGAUAUUAAACUUAUUUUUCCAAGUUGGCGGAGUGCUUGAAGCCCAGCUGCUUCACCACCGCCGCGGGUUGGCCCGGUAUUUCCCUAUCUUCGGGAUCGGCCCACGUUUC